UGGGUAACCUGCCUGUAAGACUGGGAUAACUCCGGGAAACCGGAGCUAAUACCGGAUAGUUCCUUGAACCGCAUGGUUCAAGGAUGAAAGACGGUUUCGGCUGUCACUUACAGAUGGACCCGCGGCGCAUUAGCUAGUUGGUGGGGUAAUGGCUCACCAAGGCGACGAUGCGUAGCCGACCUGAGAGGGUGAUCGGCCACACUGGGACUGAGACACGGCCCAGACUCCUACGGGAGGCAGCAGUAGGGAAUCUUCCGCAAUGGACGAAAGUCUGACGGAGCAACGCCGCGUGAGUGAUGAAGGUUUUCGGAUCGUAAAGCUCUGUUGUUAGGGAAGAACAAGUGCGAGAGUAACUGCUCGCACCUUGACGGUACCUAACCAGAAAGCCACGGCUAACUACGUGCCAGCAGCCGCGGUAAUACGUAGGUGGCAAGCGUUGUCCGGAAUUAUUGGGCGUAAAGGGCUCGCAGGCGGUUUCUUAAGUCUGAUGUGAAAGCCCCCGGCUCAACCGGGGAGGGUCAUUGGAAACUGGGGAAACUUGAGUGCAGAAGAGGAGAGUGGAAUUCCACGUGUAGCGGGUGAAAUGCGUAGAGAUGUGGAGGAACACCAGUGGCGAAGGCGACUCUCUGGUCUGUAACUGACGCUGAGGAGCGAAAGCGUGGGGAGCGAACAGGAUUAGAUACCCUGGUAGUCCACGCCGUAAACGAUGAGUGCUAAGUGUUAGGGGUUUCCGCCCUUAGUGCUGC
This 746-nucleotide ribosomal RNA is filed under the name Bacillus safensis. RNAcentral describes it as "bacterial SSU rRNA". It matches the Rfam family "Bacterial small subunit ribosomal RNA", at positions 118 to 849 of the family's 1533-position model. The record is from RNAcentral. Lineage: Bacteria; Bacillati; Bacillota; Bacilli; Caryophanales; Bacillaceae.